This 329-nucleotide unclassified non-coding RNA is filed under the name soil metagenome. RNAcentral describes it as "partial contains 5.8S ribosomal RNA, internal transcribed spacer 2, and large subunit ribosomal RNA". The stretch from base 1 to 120 matches the Rfam family "5.8S ribosomal RNA", at positions 35 to 154 of the family's 154-position model. The record is from RNAcentral.
GAUGAAGAACGUAGUGAAAUGCGAUAAGUAGUGUGAAUUGCAGAAUUCAGUGAAUCAUCGAAUCUUUGAACGCACAUUGCGCCCCUUGGUAUCCCGAGGGGCAUGCCUGUUCGAGCGUCAUUUCACCACUCAAGCCUGGCUUGGUGUUGGGCGACGUCCUCUUUGGGGACGCGCCUCGAAACGCUCGGCGGCGUGGCACCGGCUUUAAGCGUAGCAGAAUCUUUCGCUUUGGAAGUCGGGGCCCCGCCUGCCGGAAUACCUACUUGUAAGGUUGACCUCGGAUCAGGCAGGGAUACCCGCUGAACUUAAGCAUAUCAAUAAGCGGAGGA